This is a long non-coding RNA of Hylaeus volcanicus, 1008 nucleotides long. RefSeq lists it as uncharacterized. The transcript is spliced from 4 exons. NCBI's taxonomy places the organism in Eukaryota, Metazoa, Arthropoda, Insecta, Hymenoptera, Colletidae. The record is from RefSeq and is a predicted model, not a curated record.
UUGAAUAUCUGAUGGAAGGAUACCCGUGGGAUCGACAGUCGAUGCUUGGAAAAUAAGGUUCCCCGGUCCGUUGAGUUUUCCGACUCAACGAAUUGACACGGAUAGCAACGGAAGAAAUUCGAUGCUGAUGCAAGUGGAUGUAUUCUCGGCCGGUGCAUAUAUCAGAAAAUAAAUAACCCGAUGGAAAGCGGAGUCGGUCCACGAGAAUGUUGCCGGCGAGCGGGAAAUCCGGCCCUGUGCGCUUUAUCAGCGCGCUGCAUUCGCUCGCUGGCGAUUCCGCUGCGACGCGGAUCGCCGUAUCGGGGCCGAGAGAAAGACCAACGCCGAGAGAUCUCGUGGUGAUACUGUUUUUCGAAGAGUCUGUUGAUAAAGCGCUACUGGGAAAUCGAAGGAUUACCAACGGGUGAAGGGACAUGCUGAGUCAGUGUCCUGGAAAACACAAAAGGGAAGAAAUGUUGAUGUGCUUUCAUGGAGCUUUGGAUACCUAUUCACAGCAGGAACUUUCAAGUUGCAGUUCCACUGCUACGGUGACAACAACAACUCCCGAAAGUUUCACCCUCCGAAACUAUUCCAUGUAAUGAUUCUACGAAGAACAACAUGGAAUAACAGUGUUCCUCAAGUCCCCGAGGGAAAUCGAUAUUGCACGUCUGUGUUCCGUUCUGCAGGACGUGUUACCCUUUCAAGGAAACUCGCUGCUUGAAGAGGCACGGUUGCAAUUUCUGUCGCAACGUUUCCAUUCAGGGGCUUUAAAAAAUAGAAACCUCUCGGUCCCUCGGUAUUCAUGGGAAGUUAUGGUAAAUGGUCCGUCAUAGGUACGCUUUACUUGCCUCGUUUAAUGCAUCUCGGAAAGCAUAACAGAAUGGGCCUUGCAAAAAUACAUGCUGCUACUAACAAAAUCGUGAAUUUUCUUUGCUUGGAAUAAUCUCACAAAAAAUAGUAAUCCGAGGCUCCUUUUUGAGAUCCAAUAUCGUAGUAUACUAGAAUAAUCACAGAAAAUAUUCCAGUCUA